This 550-nucleotide ribosomal RNA is filed under the name uncultured bacterium. Its description in RNAcentral is "bacterial SSU rRNA". It matches the Rfam family "Bacterial small subunit ribosomal RNA", at positions 355 to 896 of the family's 1533-position model. The record is from RNAcentral.
UAGGGAAUCUUCGGCAAUGGGGGCAACCCUGACCGAGCAACGCCGCGUGAGUGAAGAAGGUUUUCGGAUCGUAAAGCUCUGUUGUAAGAGAAGAACGAGUGUGAGAGUGGAAAGUUCACACUGUGACGGUAUCUUACCAGAAAGGGACGGCUAACUACGUGCCAGCAGCCGCGGUAAUACGUAGGUCCCGAGCGUUAUCCGGAUUUAUUGGGCGUAAAGCGAGCGCAGGCGGUUAGAUAAGUCUGAAGUUAAAGGCUGUGGCUUAACCAUAGUAGGCUUUGGAAACUGUUUAACUUGAGUGCAAGAGGGGAGAGUGGAAUUCCAUGUGUAGCGGUGAAAUGCGUAGAUAUAUGGAGGAACACCGGUGGCGAAAGCGGCUCUCUGGCUUGUAACUGACGCUGAGGCUCGAAAGCGUGGGGAGCAAACAGGAUUAGAUACCCUGGUAGUCCACGCUGUAAACGAUGAGUGCUAGGUGUUAGACCCUUUCCGGGGUUUAGUGCCGUAGCUAACGCAUUAAGCACUCCGCCUGGGGAGUACGACCGCAAGGUUG